This 745-nucleotide ribosomal RNA is filed under the name uncultured bacterium. RNAcentral describes it as "bacterial SSU rRNA". It matches the Rfam family "Bacterial small subunit ribosomal RNA", at positions 28 to 792 of the family's 1533-position model. The record is from RNAcentral.
GACGAACGCUGGCGGCGUGCUUAACACAUGCAAGUCGAGCGGUAAGGCUCCUUCGGGAGUACACGAGCGGCGAACGGGUGAGUAACACGUGAGCAACCUGCCCUUCUCAUCGGAAUAAGCGUUGGAAACGACGUCUAAUGCCGAAUACGACUUCGGAAGGCAUCUUCUGAAGUGGAAAGCUCCGGCGGAGAGGGAUGGGCUCGCGGCCUAUCAGCUUGUUGGUGGGGUAAUGGCCCACCAAGGCGACGACGGGUAGCCGGCCUGAGAGGGUGACCGGCCACACUGGGACUGAGACACGGCCCAGACUCCUACGGGAGGCAGCAGUGGGGAAUAUUGGACAAUGGGCGCAAGCCUGAUCCAGCAACGCCGCGUGAGGGAUGACGGCCUCGGGUUGUAAACCUCUUUCAGCAGGGACGAAGCGCAAGUGACGGUACCUGCAGAAGAAGGACCGGCCAACUACGUGCCAGCAGCCGCGGUAAUACGUAGGGUCCGAGCGUUGUCCGGAAUUAUUGGGCGUAAAGGCUCGUAGGCGGUUAGUCGCGUCGGGAGUGAAAACUCAGGGCUCAACCUGAGCGUGCUUCCGAUACGGGCUGACUAGAGGUAUGCAGGGGAGAACAGAAUUCCUGGUGUAGCGGUGGAAUGUGCAGAUAUCAGGAGGAACACCGGUGGCGAAGGCGGUUCUCUGGGCAUUACCUGACGCUGAGGAGCGAAAGCAUGGGGAGCGAACAGGAUUAGAUACCUGGUA